UAACCCUGGCGUUUUUGGUGUUGCUGUCCCAGCCAGAAUCGCGUCUGGCCGGUGGGAAGCCGGGAACUCCAGCCUCCCGCAGGACAGGAGAAAGGAGCGAGGUUAGUAGUGAGGUGCUUCCGCUGACUGCUGAGCUAAGUCUUUCCUGAAGACGUGGGAGCCGUUGUGUUUGAUUUUUCUGUCCUCUUCGGGCCAGGGAAAGGAUGAGAAUCUAGGGCCUGGAGGGCCUGGGGUGAAUGGGUCCAGCAUGUGGCUAGGAGUACUUGAGGAAGAGUGGACUGCCCUUUCUUUUUGCCGCUAGACUUUCCUCAUUUUCCACAGUGCCUGGAGCUUGGCCUUCAGCCAUUUACCUCCUCCCUGUUUUGGGCAGGGAUUCUGGCAUGGUAGACACCAAAAUUUCUGUAUAGCAGUGGCAUAGGGCAACAGUGUCGUUGGAGGGACGUGGGUAUGGGAAUAAGCAUGGGUCUUGGGAUGUGUUUAAAGCUUCACUACAUACAUAGAUAAACGUUUUUACGUAUGUUUCGUGUAGCAUUUGGCCCCACCCAUAAUUACUAUUGGACCCCGCCCCCCAACACACACACACACACACACACACACACACACACACACGCACGCCCCCAGCCAUUUCCUUGGCCCAGACCUAAGAUCUAGCCAGUUGUCAACAAUGUCAGCUUGAUCUGCACUUCAGAGUCAGACACGGGUAGUCUGAUUAUCCAGUUGAUUCAGUAACGGCCUAGACUUAGAUACUCGUGAAACUUUUGUAAACCAACUCAAUCUCUUGUCCAGAGGGCCGGAUUUACUGCUUCUGUCCAUUCUGAAUUUGGCCAGGAAUCAGCUUAAAGGACAGGGGAGAAAGAGUGAGGUAGGGUGGACCACUGACUUCCUGGUGGGAAUGAAGAAAUGAGAGAAUCUUAAAACUUCUAACUUUUAAUUGCUCACAUAUGCGGGCCCUUUUUAUGCCUCCUACAAUGCCUUCUCUAGAGUAAAUAUUUUCUAAAAAUUAUACUGGAUUCUUCAAAAAUGGAUUCAGGAAGAAUUCUAACGUUAGUUUUUUUUUUUUUUUUUUUUUUUUUUUUUUUUUUUUUUGGUCUCACUUAUCUUCCUGAAGGUAGGAGAGGAAAACAAGUGCAAAGUGCAUUCUUGAAGCACUCUGUCAAAUCACUUUUCAUGCUUUAGUAAGUAGAAACAUGGUACAUUUUCCAAAACCAUCAGCCUGUCUUGUUCAUAUUAUAUUCCAGACAGACACGCAAGUAUUGUAAUCAUUGAUAAAAAUCUCAUUAGGUUUCUGGAAAAUAGGUAAGGUUAUCCUCAUAUUGCAGGUGAUUUUUCCAUAUGAAAUUACCCAUGAAAAUUAAAAUGGCGUAAAUUCAAGAUAAUUUUUGAGUUAAGUAAAAUGUCACUUUAAUAUAUGAUUUUUCACAUCAUUUAUCUCACUUGGAAAGUUGCUCUUGAUCAGUUUCAAGCUCAUAUACUUUUUUUUUUUUUUUGAGACAGAGUCUCCCUCUGUCGCCCAGGCUGGAGUUCUGUGGCGAGAUCCCGGCUCACUGCAAGCUCCACCUCCCGGGUUCUUGCCAUUCUCCUGCCUCAUCCUCCCGAAAAGCUGGGACUACAGGCACUCGCCACGACGCCCGGCUAAUUUUUUGUAUUUUUAGUAGAGACGGAGUUUCACCGUGUUAGCCAGGAUGGUCUCGAUCUCCUGACCUCAUGAUCCUCUCGCCUCGGCCUCCCAAAGUGCUGGGAUUAUAGGCGUGAACCAUUGCUCCUGGCCAUAUAUUUCAUUUUUAAUACUACUAUUAAAGGGAUUUCUUAGACCCAGAAAUGAAUAGUGACCAAGUAUAUACUCAACCCAAUCCUAAUUUCUAGGAUCUCUUGGAUCAUGUUUGAUCUAAUGACAAUUAAAAGGCUGGGUAGUAUAUUAACCUAUUUUUAUAUCACGCUAUGAUUUAGGCUUUUAUAUUUGGAAUAUUUACUACUAGUUAAAAUGUUUUUUUUUAAUUGUAGGCUCAGAUUCCAAUUCCCAGAUCUUGAGUAGGAUGUAAUUAGUUUCGAAAAAUAGCUAUUAACUAAUCUAACUGCACUUUAGAACAUUAUCGUUAUCCAGGAAAACAUUAAACACAUAGGCAAUCUUAAAUCUCCCAAAUGUAUUUAAUGCUUUCUAUAUGUCAUGCACUAUGCCAACUACUGGGUGAGUUCAAAAGAAAUAAAAGUAGAAUAUAAAAGAUGAAUAACUAAGGAAUCUACAGAUUAGUGGGGGAGCUAGACACAAACAUAAUACAAUGUUUUUAAUACAGGGUGUUUUUAAUAUGCUUUAGUAGAUGGGUAUAGAAAGUACCUUGGGAGCACAGAAAGGAGGGACAACUCUACCCCAGGGCAUUAGAGAAGGCUGAUAGGAAAUGAGGCAUUUGCCUUGGGUCAUGAAAGAUCUAUAGCAUUCAUGGAGAUGAAGAAAAUAUAGAAUAUUCAACUCAGUAUCGCUUAGUGAAAAUAAAUGAUAUGUUCUAGUGUGACAAGAUCAUGAGGUUUAUAAGGAAAGGUGGGAGAGGAGUCAUAAAUUAGGUUGAGGUUAGAUUAUAAGGCACAUAUAUCAAGCCAAGGAGUAAAGACUUUCUUUUUUAAGAUAAAUAGAUGUUUUUUGGCAGUGGAGUAAUUUGUUUAGGUUUGUGCUUUUUCAGUGCUAAUUCUGACCACCAUAUGAAGGAGGAACUCUCAUUGGAAGCAAUUAAAGGGCCUCAACUAAGGUGGUGCCAAAUAGGAAUCAGGUCAACUCCAAGGAUGGUUAAAACUUAUAUUCAUGUUGGAGAAAUACUAAAAGUGCCAUCUGUUUUCUCUUGCUUCAGUUUUGUUCUUAAAUUUGGGGUAACAAAUAUGGUGAAAAAAAUUCAUUCACUUACCAAAUAUUUAUAGAGUACUUGCUGUGUGUCAGGCAAUAUUGUAGGUACUCGGGAUAUACGUCAUUGACUAAAACUGCCUUCCUGGAAAUUAUAUUCCAAGAGAGAGAUAUAGUCUGUAAAAAAAAAAAAAUAAGUAAAUGAUAUCCUAUUUUAUAAGGGAAUAAGUGUUAUGUAAAAAAGAAAGUAGAACAGAUGGAAGAAAUCCAGAGUACAGAGGGAAAAGAGGAUUUGUGGUAUUCUGUAGGGUGCUCAGGGUAGGCCUCAUUGAAAAGCAGAAAAUUUGAGAAAAUAUUUGAAGGUGAUGUGACAAUAGAUUUCUUAGGGAAGAGCAUUCCAGAAAGAGGGAACAACUAAAACAGAAGCAUUGAGAUAGGGAACAUGCAAAGCAUUACAAAAAGGAGGCCAGAACAAAGUGGCCAAGGGAUAAAAUAGUAAGUGAUAAAGUCGGAAGGGUAAAGAAAGGACUGCAGAAAAUUAGGGCAUUGUAAGGACUUUGAAUUUGACUCCAAGUGAAAUGGGUAGGCCUUGCAAGAUUUUGAGCCUAGGAGUGAAAGGAUACGAGUUCAUUUCUAAAAGGAACUCCUGUGUCAAAGGCAUAAAGCUUUAUUUUCUGAGUUAGAGGUUUUUAAACAGUAGAGUGACAUGUUUAGACUUGUGUAUUGGGAAUAGACUGGAGAUGAGCAAACAGUUGAUUUAGAUGAAGAAAAGGCUAGUCAUGCCCAUCAAGAAAAUAUUGUUAUUUUUCAAAAUGCAGCUCCUGAAAGCAUUGCAUGUCUUAUUACUCUAAACUGAGUACCUUAGACAAACUGGACAUAAUCUUUGGAAAAGAAAACUUCUGAUGUCAAAAUUCCAGUUAAGUUGUCUGACUCUGCUCUUCCAUUACACGACUCUGCUCUUCCAUUACACACUUAGAAAGUCAAAGAAACAUUAAGCUGGCAAGUAGUGAAAACAGAGAACUGUUUAUGGAAAACAUUGGUGCAUAACAGGACAUGCAUAGCAGGGCAAGAAUCAGAUUAUGUCUGUGCAAUGCCAAGAAGAGUUGCCAGGAGUACUUAUCAUCUUUGAAAUUAUCCACUUUGUUAUCCCCUUUGCUGUUUUUGCCUUUUUAUACCCAAUCUCUUAGAGGAUGGGGCAUUUGUGUUUUAAGUUUUUAUUUUAUGUUAAUUAUAGCCAACUGUAACCUAUUCAAAAUAAUAAUUUAGGAGCUCUUCUAAAGUUGAGAAUACUAAGACUUUUUAAAAAAAUUACUAAAACUUGGAAUAGCUUUUUCAAAUGCCAAGGCAGAUUUAUCUUGAACAUUGAUUUUGAUAUAAGGUUUAUGUGAUUUUUUGCUUAUACAUUAGUUUUGUUUAAAUAAUGUCAUGCCUUUUGUAUCUAGGAAACUUUUUCACAUAAAUUAAAUACAGAUUAAAUUUUAAAUAGCCCAUGACUUUUUCCAUUUGCUCUAAGUUCUCUCUGACUUUUCUACUCAUAGUAAUAUCUUGUGAUUUAAGCAUAGUAUAGAAAGGAAAUCAUAAGCAGAGACUCUGAUACAUGUACAAGUUAAGAGUAUGAAUAAGGCUUGCAAGAAGGCAGAAAGGUUUGGAAGAGGGAAACUCAGUAAAAGAUUCUAAAGAACAGAGGGUGAAUUACUAUCAUGCUGGGUGAGGGGCAGCUAAAAGGCGAAUUAUAUAGUAGUUAAUAGCAUAGGCUUUGACAUUAGGCAAACCUGGGUUUUAGUCCAUAGCCUUUUACAAAUUAGCUGUGAAAUUUUGUAUAUGUUAUGUAACUAUUCUGCUUCAUUUUCCACAUCACUAAAAUAGAUUAUAGUACCUCCCUCAUGUUGUGAAUACUACAUUACAUAAUACUUGUAAAAUGCCUCAUACUUAGUAAGCUUUCAUAACAUGUUCAAAAUGAAAAACAAAACCCAAAAGUCAAACUUUUCAAGCUCGUCCUUUCAGCAAAUUAUUUUGGAGCAACUGGAUAUCCAUGAGGAAAGAAGAACCCCUACCUCACACCAUUUACAAAGUUAGAUUACUUAUUAACAUAAAUAUUAAAGCUGAAACAAAGGGAAUAACAUAUUUGGCAUCUCGUGCUUCCUGAUUUCAAAACUUACUACAAAGCUAUAGUAAUUAAAACGUGUGGUACUGGCAUAAGGAUGAAUGUAUUGAACAGUGGAAUUGAAUUGAGAGUCCAGAUAUCCAUAGACAUCUACGGCCAAUUGAUUUUUGACAAAGAUGACCACUCCAUGGGGAAAAGAAUUAUCUCUUCAGCAAAUGGUACUGGGACAACUGGAUAUCCACAUGCAAAAGAAUAAAUUUGGACUCCUACCUUAUACUUUAUAUGUAAAUUAACUCAAAAUGGGUCAAAAAACUAAAUAUAAGAGAUGAAACUAUAAAAUUCAUUGAAGAAAACAUUGGGAUAAAUCUUCAUAACCUUGGAUUUGGCAAUGGAUUUUUAGAUAUGACACAAAGAAUAUGAGCAAACAAAAAAAUAGGUAAAUUAGAUUUCAUCAAACAACAACAACAAAAAUAGGUAAAUUAGAUUUCUAAUUUCUUUUUCUUUCUUUUUUCUUUUUUUUUUUUUUGAGACAGAGUCUCCCUCUGUCACCCAGGCUGGAAUGCACGAUCUCGGCUCACUGCAAGCUCCAUCUCCCAGGUUCAUGCCAUUCUCCUGCCUCAGCCUCUUGAGUAGCUGGGACUACAGGCGCCUGCCACCACACCCGGCUAAUUUUUUUUUUGUAUUUUUACUGGAGACAGGGUUUCACCGUGUUAGCCAGGAUGGUCUCGAUCUCCUGAUCUUGUGAUCUGCCACUUCGGCCUCCCGAAGUGCUGGGAUUACAGGCGUGAGCCACCGCGCCUGGCCUAGAUUACUAAUUUCUAACUAAAAACUUUUGGUCAUCAAAAUACGUAAUCCAAAGAGUGGAAACUAACUUACAGAAUGAGAGAAAAUAUUUGCAAAUCAUAGUUUGAUAAGGAUCUAGUGUCCAGAAUGUAUAAGUAACUCUUACAACUUACCAACAAAAGACUAACUGCUCUGUUUUUAAAUGGUCAAAAGACUUGAACAGACAUUUCUCCAAAAAAGAUACACAAAUGACCAAUUCACAUGAAAAGAUGCUCAAUAUGAGGGAAAUGCAAGUCAAAAACACAGUGAGAUACCACUUCACAUUCACUAGGAUAUCUAUAAUAUUACAAAAUAUUACAAAAGCAAAAAUGACAAGUGUUGAGUAUACUGGACUGAUUAUUUCCCCCUCAUGCUACCCCCAAUUCAUGUCCUUCUAGCAUCUCAGAAUGUGAUCUUAUUUGGAAAUAGGUUCUUUUUAGAUGUAAUUAGGUAAAGUGAGGUCAUACUAGAUUAAGGUGGGCCCUAAAUGCAGUGACUGGUAUCACUGGGUUAUAAGAAGUCCGUAUGAAACAGAGGCAGAGGUUAGAGUUAUGCAGUCAGAAGCCCAGGACCACUAGGAGCAACUAGAACCUGGAGGAAGCAAGGAAGGAUUCUUCCCUUGAUCCUUCAGGAGUAUGGCCCUGCCAACAUUUUGAUUUUGGGCUUGUAGACUCCAGAACUGUGAAAGAAUAAAUAUGUAUUGUUUUAA
RNAcentral lists this long non-coding RNA (6462 nucleotides) under Macaca mulatta (Rhesus monkey). RNAcentral's name for it is "lncRNA (ENSMMUG00000061098.1)". Lineage: Eukaryota; Metazoa; Chordata; Mammalia; Primates; Cercopithecidae. The record is from RNAcentral.